RNAcentral lists this ribosomal RNA (327 nucleotides) under uncultured eukaryote. Its description in RNAcentral is "partial 18S ribosomal RNA". It matches the Rfam family "Eukaryotic small subunit ribosomal RNA", at positions 1470 to 1796 of the family's 1831-position model. The record is from RNAcentral.
CCCUUAGAUGUUCGGGGCCGCACGCGCGCUACACUGAAAGAAUCAGCUGGUAAGUUGCUCCUGGCUUGGAAACGUCGGGCAACCCGUUGAACCUCCUUCGUGCUUGGGAUUGGGGCUUGCAAUUAUUCCCCAUGAACGAGGAAUUCCCAGUAGGCGCGAGUCAUCAGCUCGCGUCGAUUACGUCCCUGCCCUUUGUACACACCGCCCGUCGCUCCUACCGAUUGAAUGCUCAGGUGAGCCAUUCGGACUUUCAUCAUGCUGGUUUCCAGUUUUGAUGAAGGAAAGUCUUGCGAACCUUAUCAUUUAGAGGAAGGAGAAGUCGUAACA